GUAACAGGCUUACCCUAACUGAUCAAUCAACCUCGUGACACUGUGCUCUGUAACCUUGUGAUAAUGUACCUUAUGACAUUCUUCCCCUGCCCGCAAUAAACGGCUCCUAACUGUAACUUUCCGGUGCUUACCUCUAACUGAUAAAACUAGCUCCAACCCACCACCCUCCACUGACUUCCUUCGCACUCAGCCCACUCGCACCCGGGUGAAUAAACAGCCUUUGUUGCUCACACUUAGCCUGUUCAAGUUGUCUCUUCAAUUAGAUGCUCGCAUAACAUUUGGUGCCGAAAGCCCGGGAUAGGGGAACUCCUCCGGCAGACCUCUCCUCUAUCCUCCCGGUACCCACGUUCUCCCAUGCAAGAGACUUCCCUCGCCCUCAGGACCUCAGACCAGCUCCGCGAGCACUCCGGCCUCUGUCUAUGGAUAUGCAUAAAAAGACAGGAAUGUAAGGUCCUCUGAGCAGGCGGCGCCAUGGUCAAGCCAUCGUGACCCCUGUGACUCACACGUACACAUCCAGAAGGUCUCCUGGAGCCAGAAAGUCUGGGACGACAGGAAAACCACAAAAGAAGAAAAACGGCUAGUUCCUGUCUUAGCUGAUCAGCCAACCUUGUGACAUUCUAUCAUUGUAACAGGCUGUACCCUAACUGAUCAAUCAACCUCAUGACACUGUGCUCUGUAACCUUAUGAUAAUGUACCUUAUGACAUUCUUCCCCUGCCCUCAAUAAACAGCUCCGAACUAUAACUUUCCACUGCUUACCCCUAAAGUAUAAAACUAGCUCCAACCCCACCACUUCCUUUUCGGACUCAGCCCACCCGCACCCAGUGAAUAAACAACCUUGUUGCUCACACUUAGCCUGUUCAGGGUGUCUCUUCAAUUAGACGCACACAUAACAGACAGAUUAACAAGAAAAACACAUACAGAUUAAUUUAAUAUAAAUUUUUUUUUAUUAUACUUUAAGUUUUAGGGUACAUGUGCACAUUGUGCAGGUUAGUUACAUAUGUAUACAUGUGCCAUGCUGGUGCGCUGCACCCACUAACUCGUCAUCUAGCAUUAGGUAUAUCUCCCAAUGCUAUCCCUCCCCCCUCCCCCCACCCCACCACAGUCCACAGAGGGUGAUAUUCCCCUUCCUGUGUCCAUGUGAUCUCAUUGUUCAAUUCCCACCUAUGAGUGAGAAUAUGUGGUGUUUGGUUUUUUGUUCUUGCGAUAGUUUACUGAGAAUGAUGAUUUCCAAUUUCAUCCAUGUCCCUACAAAGGACAUGAACUCAUCAUUUUUGAUGGCUGCAUAGUAUUCCAUGGUGUAUAUGUGCCAUAUUUUCUUAAUCCAGUCUAUCAUUGUUGGACAUUUGGGUUGGUUCCAAGUCUUUGCUAUUGUGAACAGUGCCGCAAUAAACAUACGUGUGCAUGUGUCUUUAUAGCA
Molecule: long non-coding RNA, 1418 nt
Filed under: Homo sapiens (human)
Lineage: Eukaryota; Metazoa; Chordata; Mammalia; Primates; Hominidae
Description: endogenous retrovirus group H member 3
Source: RNAcentral